UCUCCGUAGGUGAACCUGCGGAGGGAUCAUUACAGAGUUCUCGCCCUCGCGGGUAGAUCUCCCACCCACUGUUAUCGUUACUGUGUUGCUUUGGCGGGCCGCCGGGCCCCGCUCGGCCGCCGGCUCCGGCUGGCGCGCGCCCGCCAGAGGCCCAGCAAACUCUGAAUGUUAGUGUCGUCUGAGUACUAUAUAAUAGUUAAAACUUUCAACAACGGAUCUCUUGGUUCUG
This 229-nucleotide unclassified non-coding RNA is filed under the name plant metagenome. RNAcentral describes it as "partial contains small subunit ribosomal RNA, internal transcribed spacer 1, and 5.8S ribosomal RNA". The record is from RNAcentral.